RNAcentral lists this ribosomal RNA (561 nucleotides) under Aporcelaimellus environmental sample. RNAcentral's name for it is "SSU rRNA". It matches the Rfam family "Eukaryotic small subunit ribosomal RNA", at positions 1024 to 1610 of the family's 1831-position model. Lineage: Eukaryota; Metazoa; Nematoda; Enoplea; Dorylaimida; Aporcelaimidae. The record is from RNAcentral.
UUCUAACCGUAAACGAUGACAACCAGCGAUUAAUCGGCGUUAAUAUAUGACCCGAUUAGCAGCUUCCGGGAAACCAAAGUUUUUCGUUUCCGGGGGAAGUAUGGUUGCAAAGCUGAAACUUAAAGGAAUUGACGGAAGGGCACCACCAGGAGUGGAGCCUGCGGCUUAAUUUGACUCAACACGGGAAAACUCACCCGGCCCGGACACCGUAAGGAUUGACAGACUGAGAGCUCUUUCUUAAUUCGGUGGGUGGUGGUGCAUGGCCGUUCUUAGUUGGUGGAGCGAUUUGUCUGGUUAAUUCCGAUAACGAACGAGACUCUGGCCUAUUAAAUAGACGAUAUAUUUAAAAGUAUAUCGCGCUUCUUAGAGGGACAAGCGGCGUCUAGCCGCAUGAAAUAGAGCAAUAACAGGUCUGUGAUGCCCUUAGAUGUCCGGGGCUGCACGCGCGCUACACUGAAAGAAUCAGAGUGCGUUACGCCUAGUUCGGAAGAACCGGGUAACCCAAGUAAAUUCUUUCGUGCUUGGGAUAGGGAAUUGCAAUUAUUUCCCUUAAACGAGGAA